This 951-nucleotide ribosomal RNA is filed under the name uncultured Dikarya. Its description in RNAcentral is "eukaryotic LSU rRNA". The stretch from base 507 to 660 matches the Rfam family "5.8S ribosomal RNA". Lineage: Eukaryota; Fungi. The record is from RNAcentral.
CUUGGUCAUUUAGAGGAAGUAAAAGUCGUAACAAGGUUUCCGUAGCCUAUUGAAGCCUGACACGGCGACUUGAAAAACAAUCGUGGAGUCUACAUUGAACAAGAUUCAAGUGGGCGAUGCCAAAGAAGUGCUGGGAAUCUUUAACAGGAACGCCAGCAGCCAUCCGGGCCUGUUCAUCCGGGCUGAUGGUUCACAGAUCAAGUAGUGGCAGUCAUGAGCCGAGUAGUCACCGAACUGCUUAAACUUGUGAUGAAGAUAUGACCGGUCAGUGGCUGAACAAGCCAGCUGAGAAACGUUCCGUAGGUGAACCUGCGGAAGGAUCAUUAAAGAGUAAGGGUCUCCGGGCCCGAUCUCCAACCCUUUGUUUAAUCACCAUGUUGCUUUGGCGGGCCCGUCUCACGACCGCCGGAAGUUUGGUCUCAACCAGACUUCUGGCCCGUGCCCGUCAGUGGCCCCUUCAAAUUCUUGAUUAAAUAUGAUGUCUUAGUUAUAAACUUAAUAGUUAAAACUUUCAACAACGGAUCUCUUGGUUCUGGCAUCGAUGAAGAACGCAGCGAAAUGCGAUAAGUAAUGCGAAUUGCAGAAUUCAGUGAGUCAUCGAAUCUUUGAACGCACAUUGCGCUCUCUGGUAUUCCGGAGAGCAUGCUUGUUUGAGUAUCAGCAAAACACCCUCAGUUCUCUUUUUGAGAACUGGACUUGAGUUAUCCCAACGGUGGUUUCAAAACUACUGGCGGGUCGCUUGAAAUGCAGGUGCGGCUGGACACAUCUUCUGAGCUAUAAGCAUUACUUAUUUAAUCCCGUCAGACGGAUUAUUUCUACUGCUACAGCUAUAUAAGGUCGAUUGUCCGUUUGCCCGACUGAUGCAGAAAAAACAGAGAGAAAUCUUUGUUCACUCGAUCUCAAAUCAAGUAAGACUACCCGCUGAACUUAAGCAUAUCAAUAAGCGGAGGA